This 200-nucleotide unclassified non-coding RNA is filed under the name uncultured Scutellinia. Its description in RNAcentral is "sequence contains ITS2". Lineage: Eukaryota; Fungi; Ascomycota; Pezizomycetes; Pezizales; Pyronemataceae. The record is from RNAcentral.
UUAAGUUCAGCGGGUAUCCCUACCUGAUCCGAGGUCAACCUAGAAAAAUUGGGGGUUUGCGGCAGGAUCACCUCACGUUCCAAGCGAAAGAAAACUUACUACGCCGGGGCACAUGGGGCUUUCCGCCAUUGGAUUUCGGAAGGGAGUGCAGCGAGUGCACUCCUCUCCCAAUACCAAGCAAAAGAGCUUGAGUGGUUUUU